GUACCCGCUGAACUUAAGCAUAUCAAUAAGCGGAGGAAAAGAAACCAACAGGGAUUGCCUUAGUAACGGCGAGUGAAGCGGCAACAGCUCAAAUUUGAAAUCUGGCUCUUUCAGGGUCCGAGUUGUAAUUUGUAGAGGAUGCUUCGGCGUUGGCUCCGGUCUAAGUUCCUUGGAACAGGACGUCAUAGAGGGUGAGAAUCCCGUAUGUGAUCGGUUGCCUUUGCCAUGUGAAGCUCCUUCGACGAGUCGAGUUGUUUGGGAAUGCAGCUCUAAAUGGGAGGUAAAUUUCUUCUAAAGCUAAAUACUGGCCAGAGACCGAUAGCGCACAAGUAGAGUGAUCGAAAGAUGAAAAGCACUUUGGAAAGAGAGUCAAAAAGUACGUGAAAUUGUUGAAAGGGAAGCGCUUGCAACCAGACCUGCCUGCAGUUGCUCAUCCAGGCUUUUGCCUGGUGCACUCUUCUGCUGUCAGGCCAGCAUCAGUUCGGGCGGUCGGAUAAAGGCUUCGGGAAUGUGGCUCCUUUCGGGGAGUGUUAUAGCCCGUUGUGAAAUGCGACCAGCCUGGACUGAGGUCCGCGCUUCGGCUAGGAUGCUGGCGUAAUGGUUGUAAGCGGCCCGUCUUGAAACACGGACCAAGGAGUCUAACAUCUAUGCGAGUGUUUGGGUGUCAAACCCGUGCGCGUAAUGAAAGUGAACGGAGGCGGGAACCUUCGGGUGCACCGUCGACCGAUCCUGAUGUCUUCGGAUGGAUUUGAGUAAGAGCAUAGCUGUUGGGACCCGAAAGAUGGUGAACUAUGCCUGAAUAGGGUGAAGCCAGAGGAAACUCUGGUGGAGGCUCGCAGCGGUUCUGACGUGCAAAUCGAUCGUCAAAUUUGGGCAUAGGGGCGAAAGACUAAUCGAACUAUCUAGUAGCUGGUUCCUGCCGAAGUGGCCCUCAGGAUAGCAGUAACGUUUUCAGUUUUAUGAGGUAAAGCGAAUGAUUAGAGGCCUGGGGGUUGAAACAACCUUCACCUAUUCUCAAACUUUAAAUAUGUAAGAAGUCCUUGUUACUUAGUUGAACGUGGACAUUUGAAUGUAUCGUUACUAGUGGGCCAUUUUUGGUAAGCAGAACUGGCG
RNAcentral lists this ribosomal RNA (1113 nucleotides) under Glonium stellatum. RNAcentral describes it as "eukaryotic LSU rRNA". It matches the Rfam family "Eukaryotic large subunit ribosomal RNA", at positions 22 to 1155 of the family's 3401-position model. The record is from RNAcentral. Lineage: Eukaryota; Fungi; Ascomycota; Dothideomycetes; Gloniales; Gloniaceae.